Molecule: long non-coding RNA, 601 nt
Filed under: Drosophila guanche
Lineage: Eukaryota; Metazoa; Arthropoda; Insecta; Diptera; Drosophilidae
Source: RNAcentral
CUCGGUAACUUCAUGUUUUAAUUCCUUUAGCUGCUCGUAAGAGCUCGCUCCAGCUAGCAUAUCAUCCAUGUAGAAGUUUUGCCUUACAGCUUCGCUAGCUAAUGGGAAUGAUUCCCCAAAUUGAUCCGUUAAAUAGUAAAGACAUCUAACUGCUAGAAAAGGUGCUGAAUUGGUUCCAUAGGUAACCGUUUUAAGGCGUAGUACCUUAAUUGGGUCAGUACUACAAUUACGCCAUAAAAUGCACAAAUAAUUGCAGUCGCUUGGCUCAACUAAUAUUUGCCUAUACAUCUUAGAGAUGUCAGCAGUCAAUGCGAAUCGAUAAAACCGGAAUCGAGUAAGGGUCUCGAACAAAUCUGGUUGCAACGUUGCUCCUACUAGCAUUGUAUCGUUUAACGCAAGCCCAUUGCUUGAUUUACACGAUGCAUCAAAUACGACUCUCAACUUUGUCGUCAAACUUUCUGGGCGAAUCACCGGAUGAUGGGGCAUGAUAUAUUUCACCUCGUGUAUCUUAUCAGCCGCUACCUCCUCUAAAUGAUCCAAUUGUCUAUACUCAUCGAAAAAUUCUGCGUAAGCUCUCUUCAACUCUGGAUUCUUACUGAAC